Molecule: ribosomal RNA, 253 nt
Filed under: uncultured bacterium
Lineage: Bacteria
Description: partial 16S ribosomal RNA
Rfam family: Archaeal small subunit ribosomal RNA
Source: RNAcentral
UACCCGCAGCACAAGUGGUGGUCAUUAUUAUUGGGCCUAAAGCGUCCGUAGCUGGCUUGUUAGAUGCCUGGGUAAAUCGAUGCGCUCAACGUAUCGAAAUCCGGGUAGACCGGCAAGCUUGGGACCGGGAGAGGCGUGAGCUACUCGGGGGGUAGGGGUAAAAUCCGUUGAUCCAUUGAAGACCACCAGUGGCGAAGGCGGCUUGCCAGAACGCACUCGACGGUGAGGGAUGAAAGCUGGGGGAGCAAACCGG